This 735-nucleotide ribosomal RNA is filed under the name uncultured Staphylococcus sp. Its description in RNAcentral is "bacterial SSU rRNA". It matches the Rfam family "Bacterial small subunit ribosomal RNA", at positions 65 to 782 of the family's 1533-position model. The record is from RNAcentral. Lineage: Bacteria; Bacillati; Bacillota; Bacilli; Caryophanales; Staphylococcaceae.
AGCGAACAGACGAGGAGCUUGCUCCUUCGACGUUAGCGGCGGACGGGUGAGUAACACGUAGGUAACCUACCUAUAAGACUGGGAUAACUUCGGGAAACCGGAGCUAAUACCGGAUAAUAUUUCGAACCGCAUGGUUCGAUAGUGAAAGAUGGCUUUGCUAUCACUUAUAGAUGGACCUGCGCCGUAUUAGCUAGUUGGUAAGGUAACGGCUUACCAAGGCAACGAUACGUAGCCGACCUGAGAGGGUGAUCGGCCACACUGGAACUGAGACACGGUCCAGACUCCUACGGGAGGCAGCAGUAGGGAAUCUUCCGCAAUGGGCGAAAGCCUGACGGAGCAACGCCGCGUGAGUGAUGAAGGUCUUCGGAUCGUAAAACUCUGUUAUUAGGGAAGAACAAACGUGUAAGUAACUGUGCACGUCUUGACGGUACCUAAUCAGAAAGCCACGGCUAACUACGUGCCAGCAGCCGCGGUAAUACGUAGGUGGCAAGCGUUAUCCGGAAUUAUUGGGCGUAAAGCGCGCGUAGGCGGUUUUUUAAGUCUGAUGUGAAAGCCCACGGCUCAACCGUGGAGGGUCAUUGGAAACUGGAAAACUUGAGUGCAGAAGAGGAAAGUGGAAUUCCAUGUGUAGCGGUGAAAUGCGCAGAGAUAUGGAGGAACACCAGUGGCGAAGGCGACUUUCUGGUCUGUAACUGACGCUGAUGUGCGAAAGCGUGGGGAUCAAACAGGAUUAGA